GAUGAACGCUAGCGGCAGGCUUAACACAUGCAAGUCGAGGGGUAUAGUUCUUCGGAGCUAGAGACCGGCGCACGGGUGCGUAACGCGUAUGCAAUCUACCUUUUACAGAGGGAUAGCCCAGAGAAAUUUGGAUUAAUACCUCAUAGUAUGUGAGAAUCGCAUGGUUUUCACAUUAAAGUUCCAACGGUAAAAGAUGAGCAUGCGUCCCAUUAGCUAGAUGGUAAGGUAACGGCUUACCAUGGCGACGAUGGGUAGGGGUCCUGAGAGGGAGAUCCCCCACACUGGUACUGAGACACGGACCAGACUCCUACGGGAGGCAGCAGUGAGGAAUAUUGGUCAAUGGGCGCAAGCCUGAACCAGCCAUGCCGCGUGCAGGAAGAAGCAUCUAUGGUGUGUAAAACUGCUUUUGUACGGGAAGAAACACUCCUACGUGUAGGAGCUUGACGGUACCGUAAGAAUAAGGAUCGGCUAAACUCCGUGCCAGC
RNAcentral lists this ribosomal RNA (485 nucleotides) under uncultured bacterium. RNAcentral describes it as "bacterial SSU rRNA". It matches the Rfam family "Bacterial small subunit ribosomal RNA", at positions 28 to 512 of the family's 1533-position model. The record is from RNAcentral.